UAAAAAAAACUACACUUCGGAUAUGUUUCGGUGUGAAAAUAGGACAACAAAAUAAAUCGAGCUCUAGCUCUCUAUUUCAACUUUUUCAAACAAAUAGCCAGGGAUAACCGAUAUCGUUUAUAUCCAGUAAGGAGUCUCCUUAAGGUAUCGAUACCAAAAAUUCACUAAAGUAAGUAUAUAAUAGGACAAGAUAUUUGUGGUAGAAAGAAACCUGAUUUAGUUUUAGCCAGAAAAACAGUAUGAAUAAUGAUGCAGGUCACUUGUGAUAGUUAUUGUGUUUUCCACUCUGGGUACAGCUUCAUAGGAGAAUAUUGUCUUGUCGAGAGUGACAGCGUAGCAGGGUAGACCUAGGCGCUCGAACCAAGCAUCCAAAGUACUCGCUAUGUAAUCACUUCGACUAAAUGUCCAAAUUGGGGGAGUGAUUGCGCUCCUGGAUGAACUAUUUUCCAACCAAUGAUCCAGGCUUGUGUGAUGAAUACUAUCCUGGGCUAUCUUCAACUAGAUAUUCGACCCUUAUAUUCAAUGGUAAGUAAAACCAAGCUGAACUGAACCGUUACGUAAAGGCAAAUUGAUGUAAAGUAGGGUAGUCGAUAAGCCCACGUAACGUAAAAUUACAAGUAGAAAAAGAAAAAAAAUGCCCUAAAAAGAAUAUAUUCGUGAAAAGUUUGACCGGGUUCACAUAAAUUUGAAUGUAAUACAUGCAAAGGCUGAUAAAACCUACCUGGAUAAUGGGUGGCCUUGAGCAGUAAUUAUUCAAUUCAGCAAACUUGUGUAAUUCGGGAACAAAUCUUCUUGAAAUAGUCAGAGGACCUUCCUUUGACUACCUUUUCCGCAAAACUACAAGAGUUUCAAAGAAAAAUCCGCAAACAAGCGACACGUCUUUCCAAUCUUUCUAGAACACCGAAAAAACCACAUUCUGCUCAACUCUCCUUUUUUUCAUAUUUAACAAAAAAAACCCGCUUGUUUUUAAUUAGUGUCGUUCUUUAUAUUUUAGGUUGGGAACCCUGAUAUUUAUAAUGAAGUGACCUGGUAGUUCUAAUGAACCUUCUGAUGACAAGCAGAAGUGAGGUUAUGUUAUUUUGUUAUGAAUUCCCAAAAUGAUGAAAACGAUUAGUAAACGGUCAUUAUUUUAGCUAUCUACUCAAAAGCAGAUCAACAUACCUGACGAUGAACCCUACCCGUACUAUCGACCUCGCUGGACUCGUCUUUGGCAUGGAAAUAUCAGCUUAUCCCUGUUCUGAAUGUACAUAUUUUAUAAAAAGUAGAAGUUGAAUGAUAAUAAAAAAAAACUAUAUCCUU
Leptinotarsa decemlineata (Colorado potato beetle) is the source of this 1299-nucleotide long non-coding RNA. NCBI's taxonomy places the organism in Eukaryota, Metazoa, Arthropoda, Insecta, Coleoptera, Chrysomelidae. The record is from RefSeq and is a predicted model, not a curated record.